This 393-nucleotide long non-coding RNA is filed under the name Mytilus galloprovincialis (Mediterranean mussel). The record is from RNAcentral. Lineage: Eukaryota; Metazoa; Mollusca; Bivalvia; Mytilida; Mytilidae.
GUGCAACGAAAUCUCUACAGCACAUGGUACAUGUUGUGACACCACUAGAUGUUUAAUAGGAUCCCGCGAAAAGUCUGACUUUGGUCCACGAAGGUAGCAAAUUGUCUGUGUGACCAUCGCUGGAGGCUUUUGGUACACAUAAGAUAUUUUAUUUUGUUGGUAAUCAGAUAUUUUUUUUAAUAUGCCGGAUAGCCAUUAAAACAUCACCAAGGAAAGGUUGCCAUGCUCUUUGUUAAUUUCCAUGAAACUGAUAUAGCCCCAAAGGUUUUACAUGAACACCAGUGGAUACACAUUUCAAUUUGAAAGCCACGCGGAAUCAAUAUCGGAGAUGUUUAAGACAAAUGCAUGGAUCCUGCUGGGCGUUUGUUCCUUUAUAUCUCCCUUGACAUGGCC